GGGACUGUAGCUCAUUGGCAGAGCAUUUGUCUUGCACAUGGAAGGCACUGGGUUUGAUUCUCAGCACCA
Molecule: transfer RNA, 69 nt
Filed under: Ictidomys tridecemlineatus (thirteen-lined ground squirrel)
Lineage: Eukaryota; Metazoa; Chordata; Mammalia; Rodentia; Sciuridae
Description: Spermophilus tridecemlineatus (thirteen-lined ground squirrel) tRNA
Rfam family: tRNA
About the family: Transfer RNA (tRNA) molecules are approximately 80 nucleotides in length. Their secondary structure includes four short double-helical elements and three loops (D, anti-codon, and T loops).
Source: Rfam by way of RNAcentral